GUAUAACUAAUUCGAGUUGUAAUUGGGAAUCCAAAAAUCAUAGUUAUUAUCUACUUUUCUUCUGACAUGUUUAUUUAAAAUUUAUAUUGAAUUUCCUGAAUGAAUUUCCUGAAAGCACCAAGAACACUGAUUUUUUGGAAGGACUCCGCUUUUCAGGAACGGAAGUGAUAGACGAUAUUGAGAUAGCUGCAAAGGUUCCUCGUAAUCUGGUCGAGGUAUGGGUGGUGGAUGUAUUACGCUCCAUGGCAGGUAAGGAUCGAUGUGGAUAGGAGACUUAAUUAAUACGUUUUUUACCCCUUGAAGAUUCUCCUUCAUUCAAUGAUUUCCUUUUGAAUGGCCAAUGUCCCCGCAUUUCUGAAAGACGCGUGGAAGAUCCAGUUGUUGGAGGGACCCUAGUGCAGGAGAAGGUGGAAUCAGGAUCGGAGAAUUAGCAAUUGUCCCAUUUUCUGAUUUAUCAUCACUGAUCAUAAUCACCUCAUACACAUCGUCAUCAGUCCUCCUCAUGGGGUUGUUGCCUUGCACGUUUCUCUUCCGAGAACUCAUUCCUACUCAACAAAUGUAACAUAUUUCAUCACAAUCUCAUAUAAAUGUAACCAUAAGGGCUUCAUUAUAUAAUAUCUAAGAAGAUAUCAACAAUAAUAUACACCUCAUUAACUAGAAAUAGUUAUAAAAAAUCGAUUAUAGAUUUCCAAACAUACAUUUUCAAGCCUGGAAGAAUGUAAUUAUUAGAAUCGAAAAACAAUUAUCUGGAAUUAGUAAUUUUCAGAUUUUCUUCAUCCAAUUAGUAAUUUAGUCAAACCGGUAAUGUUAAAAUUUGUACAGGGAAAAAAAACAAUGCUGGGCAUGGUCUAAUUUUCAACAAAUUGAGUAGUAUUAAAAUCUACGAAACUUUGAAAACUAGGUCGGCGAAAACCUUGAACACAUAAUGUGAUUCCAUAUCAAAACAGACAAACAAAAAACUAAGCAUAGAAAAUCGAUAUUGGUAAAAUAAUACUAAAAACCUGGGAGAAACGAAACCUUUAGAUGAAUCGAUGGAUAUUAUGGCCGAAUAACUUUUCCGAUGUUCUCAAAAUACAGCCCCGACGAAUGUUUAAAUAGAGCAAAACCUAUACCGCUGUAAUGAUGAAAUCCCUGUCAUCGAUCGUCGGCCCAGAGCACGUCGCCGUCGGAAGGCAUGGUUAGGCCCAUGGGCGUAUCUAGGGGGAGCAAGGGAGGGCAAUUGCCCAC
RNAcentral lists this long non-coding RNA (1227 nucleotides) under Zostera marina. Its description in RNAcentral is "long non-coding RNA (ZMAR_LNC002663)". The record is from RNAcentral. Lineage: Eukaryota; Viridiplantae; Streptophyta; Magnoliopsida; Alismatales; Zosteraceae.